CAGGACGAACGCUGGCGGCAUGCCUAACACAUGCAAGUCGAACGGAGUAAUGACUUCGGUAUACUAGUGGCGAACGGGUGAGUAACACGUGAAUAAUCUGCCCUGUACGAUGGGAUAACAGCUGGAAACGGCUGCUAAUACCGUAUAUGACCACGCCGAGGCAUCUCGGAGGGGUGAAAGCGCUUAAGCGGUACAGAAUGAGUUCGCGUCCAAUUAGCUAGUUGGUGAGGUAACGGCCCACCAAGGCGACGAUUGGUAGCCGACCUGAGAGGGUGAUCGGCCACACUGGAACUGAGACACGGUCCAGACUCCUACGGGAGGCAGCAGUGGGGAAUAUUGGGCAAUGGAGGAAACUCUUACCCAGCAAUGCCGCGUGAGUGAUGAAGGUCUUCGGAUUGUAAAGCUCUUUGAUUGGGGACGAAUAAAUGACGGUACCCAAGGAACAAGCCCCGGCUAACUAUGUGCCAGCAGCGGC
RNAcentral lists this ribosomal RNA (475 nucleotides) under uncultured bacterium. Its description in RNAcentral is "bacterial SSU rRNA". It matches the Rfam family "Bacterial small subunit ribosomal RNA", at positions 25 to 518 of the family's 1533-position model. The record is from RNAcentral.